Long non-coding RNA from Drosophila virilis, 2092 nucleotides. RefSeq lists it as uncharacterized. NCBI's taxonomy places the organism in Eukaryota, Metazoa, Arthropoda, Insecta, Diptera, Drosophilidae. The record is from RefSeq and is a predicted model, not a curated record.
AUCAAUGCAUCCUUAUCGCGAGCACUCAGCUGUGAGUCAGUGUAAAUAAAAGAGCUGGCAUGUUAAAAAUGAGUCUAGAGCUUAUUUUGUUGUGUGUAUUAUGUUAUGUACUAUACUUAGUAUUUUUUAAUUUUACGAAAGAUCGUGUUAAAUUAAGAGACGAGCUUGAAUGGCGCAGAGAAAAUGAACAAAAGUUGAGGGAUGAUAUCAGAAGGGAAGAAGUAAAAAUAAGCUUUCUUAAAUAUCAUAAGCAAAUGGAGGAAAAACAACAACAGCUUGUGUUGGAGAUCGCACGCAAAGAUCAGCUAAUUCAUAAUUUGGAAAUCAAAAUAGAAGAGAAAGGAUUUUGGAGUUUUUGCAAAUAAACUUUAAGUAAAUAUAAAAAUAAGAUAACCGGCGCCAGCAGCACUCCUCAAGGUAGCCAGCAAUAGAACCCUACAGCAUAAUCACAAUGCAGCCUAGGAGCUGGGAGCUAGGAGCAAGGAUCUACAUUGACUCAGUCUACUUUCCAAUCUCUUUGGCUGACCUUUGAGCGGCUUGCAUCUGCUGAAUUCUUCGUUCGUACCUAUUAGCAUGUACAUAGUAUAUGCAAUAAAGAUUUAAUGGCUUGUGUUUUUCCUGAAAUUAAGUUGGUGCCCUGCGCAGCCAAUAAAUAAAUAAGAAAUGAAAUCGAGUAAAGCAACAACUAUACAGUAUCAAUUAUGUAUGAUAUUAUACACAUUUUUUGGUUACUCGGAAAUUCGAUCGUACACCGAGUUGUGGCAAAGCUCAUUUUGUGAGCAAUAAGUUUUAUUUUGUGGUGAUCUAAUCGGACAUGCCAACUCUUUGAAAUGUGUCACAGAUCCUAGAGACUGGCAUAAUUUCAAAUCGAUAAUUCUUAUCGCACAGUUGAUUCCGUACGUUUUGUAUUGAUUGUUAUCGAUAUAAUCGCAUUGAAAUCGGUAAACGUAUCUGGGAUUUGUAUGAUUACUUGGUGAAAUAUAAAAUGAGCGAUCUGCUGUUAUUUCUGUUGUUUAUAACACUAUUUGUCAUACAUUUAGCAUUCAUGUUUUUAAAGAAUGAACUUAAUAAUUUGACAAAAGUUGUUGAAGAGUCUAAAGAAAAAGAACAGUCGUUGAAGUAUGCCGACUUGGAGAACAAAUUGAAACUGCACAUUCUUCAUUUUGAAAGUUGUAUGGAGAAAUUAAGGCAAGAUCAGGAGCUAAGGAGAACAUUUAUCACCCAAACCACAAAUAUUACGGUUAAUGUCAAUGUGGGAAAGGAAGGUCUGUCCUAAGAUUUUUCCAGAGAAUGCCAUAGCUGGAAAUCGAUAGAUCGAUAACACUUAUAUACCUGAUCAAUUUCAAUGUUUUAUCGUAAGUUUAGUAAGUUGAAGCAGUAAAUAAAAAAGUUUUUAAUGCUUUUCUCAAAUUUAAAUAAUAAAAAUUACUUCUUUUCGGGCAUCUUAAUUUUAAUAAAAGUGUGUUUUAAGUUUUAAUGGUAUAAUUUUUGGUAACAUCAAAAAUAGAUAACAUUAUCAUUGCAUACGCCAGAGUGAGUCAGUUGUCGUGCUUCAAAAUGCUUGAAAAUUUGGGACUUUUGAUUACUACUGGAAUAUGUUUCAUUAUUUAUUUAAUGUUCAAAUAUUUUAUGGAAGAGCGUAAUAAGCUAUUAGUAGAUUUGGAAAAUGCCCGAACAGCUGAACUGUUGAUGAAGGACGAAAUUAAAGAUAUAAAAAUUAAGGCCUGCGAAGAAAAAAUAAACGUCUUGGAGGAUAAAGUGUCGACUCUUAAUAAGCAAGUUAAAUAUAAUAAGGAGCAACUCAAGAACUCGAAGGAAGAAAGAUCGUGUCCAAUAUCUUGAUUUGUUAAGGUCAAUAUGCGACUAAUCCUAAAUAUGAAUAACUAUAACAUUUAGUUUUUUUUUACAAAGUGAGUCUUACCCGGGUUAACUGCUACCUUAAAUUAAUAUAUAUGAUUUGGCUAAUUGAACAUAGCAGUCUUAUCACUUCCGCUGGCAUUAAUCAUAGCUGAGGCAGCCAUUAUAUUUUUAAAUUGAAUUCAAUAAUUUUGUUAAAAAUGUAUUCAAGCGUAUAAAGUUUUACUGAUAAUAA